UUGGUUGCAGGGGGCUAGGACUUGCGACCUAUACUUGGGCACCUGGAUCGCAACGAGCUGGUGGUGCAACCGACCUGACAUUGU
This 84-nucleotide non-coding RNA is filed under the name Clostridia bacterium. RNAcentral describes it as "c-di-GMP-II sequence". It matches the Rfam family "Cyclic di-GMP-II riboswitch aptamer". The record is from RNAcentral. Lineage: Bacteria; Bacillati; Bacillota; Clostridia.